Molecule: ribosomal RNA, 497 nt
Filed under: uncultured bacterium
Lineage: Bacteria
Description: partial 16S ribosomal RNA
Rfam family: Bacterial small subunit ribosomal RNA
Source: RNAcentral
GAUGAACGCUGGCGGCGUGCCUAAUACAUGCAAGUCGAGCGAACAGACGAGGAGCUUGCUCCUCUGACGUUAGCGGCGGACGGGUGAGUAACACGUGGAUAACCUACCUAUAAGACUGGGAUAACUUCGGGAAACCGGAGCUAAUACCGGAUAAUAUAUUGAACCGCAUGGUUCAAUAGUGAAAGACGGUUUUGCUGUUACUUAUAGAUGGAUCCGCGCCGCUUUAGCUAGUUGGUAAGGUAACGGCUUACCAAGGCAACGAUGCGUAGCCGACCUGAGAGGGUGAUCGGCCACACUGGAACUGAGACACGGUCCAGACUCCUACGGGAGGAAGCAGUAGGGAAUCUUCCGCAAUGGGCGAAAGCCUGACGGAGCAACGCCGCGUGGGUGAUGAAGGUCUUCGGAUCGUAAAACUCUGUUAUUAGGGAAGAACAAAUGUGUAAGUAACUAUGCACGUCUUGACGAUACCUAAUCAGAAAGCCACGGCUAACUACGUG